RNAcentral lists this transfer RNA (74 nucleotides) under Stomphastis thraustica. Its description in RNAcentral is "tRNA-Lys". The record is from RNAcentral. Lineage: Eukaryota; Metazoa; Arthropoda; Insecta; Lepidoptera; Gracillariidae.
CAUUAGAUGACUGAAAGUAAGUAUUGGUCUCUUAAACCAUUUUAUAGUAAAUUAACAACUACUUCUAAUGAUUA